AUUCUUUAUAGCUUGCUAUGAUAGAAAUUAGUGGCAGACGGGUGAGUAAUGCAUAGGAAUCUACCUAGUAGUAUGGGAUAGCCACUAGAAAUGGUGGGUAAUACUGUAUAAUCCCUGCGGGGGAAAGAUUUAUCGCUAUUAGAUGAGCCUAUGUUAGAUUAGCUAGUUGGUAGGGUAAAGGCCUACCAAGGCAGUGAUCUAUAGCUGGUCUGAGAGGAUGAUCAGCCACACUGGAACUGAGAUACGGUCCAGACUCCUACGGGAGGCAGCAGUGGGGAAUAUUGGACAAUGGGCGCAAGCCUGAUCCAGCUAUGCCGCGUGAGUGAGGAAGGCCUUAGGGUUGUAAAACUCUUUCAGUGGGGAAGAUAAUGACGGUACCCACAGAAGAAGUCCCGGCAAACUCCGUGCCAGCAGCCGGCGGGUAAUAUUACGGGGAGGGGGGGGGCCAAAAGGCCGGCUUUGGUUCCGGGGAACUUAUUCGGGGCCGUAAAGGGGCAUGUAGGCGGUUCGGUAAGUCAAGGUGACAUGCCAGGGCUUACCCUGGAGCUGCUUUUAAU
Molecule: ribosomal RNA, 557 nt
Filed under: Anaplasma sp. 2(2011)
Lineage: Bacteria; Pseudomonadati; Pseudomonadota; Alphaproteobacteria; Rickettsiales; Anaplasmataceae
Description: bacterial SSU rRNA
Rfam family: Bacterial small subunit ribosomal RNA
Source: RNAcentral